CUGGGAAACUGCCUGAUGGAGGGGGAUAACCCUUUGGAAACGGUAGCUAAUACCGCAUAACGUCGCAAGACCAAAGAGGGGGACCUUCGGGCCUCUUGCCAUCGGAUGCGCCCAGAUGGGAUUAGCUAGUAGGUGGGGUAACGGCUCACCUAGGCGACGAUCCCUAGCUGGUCUGAGAGGAUGACCAGCCACACUGGAACUGA
Molecule: ribosomal RNA, 203 nt
Filed under: Escherichia coli
Lineage: Bacteria; Pseudomonadati; Pseudomonadota; Gammaproteobacteria; Enterobacterales; Enterobacteriaceae
Description: partial 16S ribosomal RNA
Rfam family: Bacterial small subunit ribosomal RNA
Source: RNAcentral